CUAUCUCUCACUCUAUCUCUCAACCCCUCUACCCGUCUCUCGCUCUGCUCCAUUCAUUAUUUUCUCACCCCUUUCGCUCUCCCUCCCCUCUUCCCUCCCUCUCCGAUUAGUCUCUAUUUUUUCUCUCUUCCCUCAUUUCUCCCCUUCUCUUUCUCUCUCUCUCUCUCUCUCUCUCUCUUUCUCUCCCUCUCUCUCAUUCUCUUACCUAUACGCAUAAUCGGGAACGCGUUCGUUGUUGUAUAUUAGAGAAGUUGUACGGUAGAGGUGAAUCUUAAAAAGAAAAAAAAAAAAAAGAAAGAAAGAAAAAGAAAAAAGAAAAAAGAACGAGGAAAAUGAUUGAAACAGGGAAGCGGAAGCGAGUGUGCAUCCUCGAGAAUGAUCGUGGUCGUGGUCGUGAUCCGGGGAAUCGAGUACGCACGCUCGUUGACGGGGACAGAGAGAGAAACGAGGCGCGUCAGGACGUUCGAGGGACGAUUAUCGUUGGAGAGUUAUCGUGCUCGUCGUCGUUGUCGUCGUCCGUGUUUCUUUUACGACGGACGAACGCUAAACCGACGGACAGGACGGGAGAAAAGGGGUGAAAGAGGGGGGGGCGCGGUGCAACGCACCAUUUCGAACGUUAACACCUACUUGAUAGUCGAGAUCUUUCCUUCCGCGAGACGAUUCCCGUGAUCGUUCUCGAGACGGGGAGGGGGAAGGGAAGGGAAGAAAAGAUGGAAAAAGGAAGAUAGAGGGGGAGGGGAGGGAGAGAGAGAGAGAGAGAGAGAGAGAAUGAUAUAAGGGUAUCGCGGUGCACGGAAAUAUCUCUGCGGCGAAAAUUUUCGAAACAAUCGAAUUAUUCUUACUUUCUCCUCCUCUUUCCUUUUCUUCUCUCCUGUGAUACGCGAAUCGGCGGAGGCACUCGAAGAAUCGAAAAUCGUAUCUCUCCUCUUUUUAUCCCUAUUUAUCAUCGACGUGGUCGUAGACGCGUAUCGUCGGAAUCAUCGAAAUAAUGACGAUAAUCGCGUGUUUGGUUGAUCGUUCGCAGGAUGCGUGGGUGUUUCGCGUUACCUCGAUAAAUUAUGCGUGUACAUAGAGGAUAGCGAGAGGGGGAUAGGCGAGAAGAGUGGAGAUCGUGUGUCGUGGUGGAGACUACAAUUCGGCCGUGUGUGUGUGUGUGUUGUGAAGAAAAAGAAGAAAGUGCUCUUUCUAUCAUUUUAUCGUCGUGUUAUCACGUCUCCACUCGAGGUCCAUAAACCGAUUCAAGUCUGGGAAGAAGCCUGGAAUUCCUACUGCAAAAAACUGCAAGCAAGCGUCCUAAAACAUUCCACGUAGAUCGUAGCCGAUCGCAAAAUGGGUUGUUUCGGCAGCAAAGAUAAGUUGAGCAAAGAAGAUAUGGAUUUUCUUAAAUCGCACACAAGAUACGACGAAGCAACUAUAAAAGAAUGGUACAAAGGAUUUAAACAAGAUUGUCCGAACGGUAGACUAACGCCGGCAAAAUUUGUCGACAUGUAUAAAAUGUUCUUCCCAUCUGGCAACGCGGAAGAAUUUUGCGAUCACGUUUUCCGUACAUUCGACAUGGACAAAAAUGGCUACAUCGAUUUCAAGGAAUUUUUGUUGGCUAUCGAUGUAACGUCUAGCGGGACGCCAGAAGAAAAACUGAAAUGGGCUUUCCGUAUGUACGAUGUCGAUGGAAAUGGUGUCAUUGACAUUCAAGAAAUGACCAAGAUCGUUCAGGCAAUAUACGACAUGCUCGGUGCAUGCUCGAGCAACAGACCGGCAGAUAGCGCGGAAGAAAGAGCGAAGAACAUCUUCGCGAGAAUGGACGAAAAUAAUGACGGUCAACUUACCGAGGAGGAAUUUUUGAAAGGUUGCCUUCAAGACGAGGAACUUUCAAAAAUGCUGGCCCCUUAAUUUCCGUGUCUUACCUCGGAUCCGAUGAUGACACACCAACCGAACCGAAUCGAAACGAAUUUCAAUUGCAUCUAUCCUUCCGUACCGAUCGUUCUAUAUUAUAUUCCAUAUAAUAUCAUUAUCGAACACGAUAAUCGGUGCGAUUGCCAACAAAAAAAUCGAAGGAAAAUCGGUGUCUUUCUCACGGUCUAACUUCAAUUUCGACUCGAAUCGAUAAAUUUCCUCCCCUCCCUUCCCAACGACAAUCCAUCCGAAUUUCAAUUCACCGAUACGAACGAACGAACGAGCGUUCGCGUUCACUCGGGAAAAUUAUUAUAAAUCGAUAUUAAACGGCGAGAAAAAAAGAAAAGAAAAGAAAAGAAAAGAAAAGAAAUAAUUGGACGAAGAAGACAAGUAUAUUUCGUUUUGUCAACAAGAAUCGUAGAAUCGUAGAAUUUCGCGAUAUUCUUGUCGGAUCGAGAUCGCAUCGAGUUUGAAGUUUGACCGAUGCUUCCACAGCAAGUACCUAAAAAUUGACGUUUAAGGUAGCUGAUCGACAAGCAUGCGAUUCACCGCUUUUUUCUCUCUUUUUAAGAUCGUACGUAUAAUAAUAAAAAAAAAAGAAAAAUCGCACAAGACGAUAAUAUAUUGGGUCGAUCGUUUAACGAAUGUUUGAAAAACGUCGUUAUUUCCAAUGGAAUGAAAAACGUAUAUAUAUAUAUAUGUAUAUAUAUAUAUAUAUAUACCGUCGAUUUAAAACGGACGUUUUAUUUGUUCUCGUUCUCUCUCUCUCUCUCUCUCUCUCUCUCUCUCUCUCUCUCUCUCUCUCUCUCUCUCUCUCUCUCUCUCUCUGUUGUUUUUUUCUCGAUAUCAGCAGCACGGUUAAUAGGUUAAUAGGUUGAUAUUAGUAAAAAUUAUAUAUAUAAGGUGAUUAAAAAUUUCUCAUCCGAAUUUAUAAUGUUUACAUACCCUAAUCUUUUAAUCUUUUCAACUCGAUCACCGUAAUAAUUAGUAUUUCAAAUUUACAUUUAUUUAAUCGUUCUCAUUGAUUAUAUUUAUUUAAUCGAUUUAAGAGACUCGAAUUCGCAAGAUUAGAUUUAUAUGAUAUUUACAUAUGUAUAACGAGAUAAACGUAUUAUUCGACGAUCGCGAUCGAAAGGAUUAAAGUGUUUUUUUAGCUCCAUUCAUUUCGCUUUCUCUUUUUACGCGUCUAUCUAUCCAUCUAUCUCUCUAUCCAUUUAUCUAUCCAUCUAUCUAUUUAUCUAUCUAUCUAUCUAUCUAUCUAUCUAUCUAUCUAUCUAUUUUUCUAGUUUGAUGAUUUUCGAUUUUUCGCUCAAUAUACAUAUAUAUAUAUAUAUAUACUUACACGCAUUGCGCGUUGAUUCGAAUAAAUAAAAUGACAAAGUAACAACGAUAGAAAGAACAAUAAUAAUAUUUUAUAACGAAACAUAUUUUCUGAGAAUUACCGAUAUCUUUUAUCGAAUAAAAGAUAAAACGAAGGAAAAAGAGAAAGUAAUUGGAAGGAAAAGCAUAACGAUUUCGAUCAUCUUCUCCAAAUAAAUGCAAUUUUUUAUCGUUCUUCGUUUUAUUCGAUGUAUUAGUUUCUAUUCCUUCUUCUUUCACCCCUCUCCCGGGGGGAAUUAUUUAUAAAUUUUUUUAAAAAAAUUUAUAAAUAUGCACAUGUUCUAUAGAAAGGAAAAAAUUCUAUAUAUAUAUAUACCGAUAUUUAUUAUCGAUGAAUAUAUUCUAUAGAAUGAAUGUCGAUACUUUUAGAUCGAUUUAGAACCGAUUAAUAAUUUUGCCGAUAAGAUACUUGGAAUUCUACGAAUUUAUAUAAAUCACGGGUAAGAAAAUAUCGUUUCAUUAUUAAGAAUUGGCGAGAGGGAAAUUUGGAAAGAGAAUGUUAGUAAGUUAGUAUCUGUGUACUAAUGUGCAGUUCGUGCAAUUAAUGUAAACAAAUAUUGUUGUAUCGCUCGCGUAUAUUUAUGCGUAUAUAGUUAUUUACAUAUAUAAUAGUAGGCUAAGUACAUAUCAUUGCCUUUUCUCUAAUUAUUCAAAAUCGACUCGUAGGCGCGAAGUUUUCUUCGUGUUUUUUCGUUGUGUACGUGCUUCCGCAAUUUCGGCCAAUUCGAACACGAAUUUUGAGAACGCAAUUUCUCGAUUAAUUUCUCGAUUGAUAUACGAUGAUGGAAAAACGUGUGCGCGUUCUUUUCUCAUUCGACCACAUUCCCCCAAAAAUCUCUUCUAUAUUUAAUCGAAACGAAAAAUUUAUGUACGAUAUACAUAUAUAUUAUUCACUUUAGGUAAGAUAUAAAAGAAAAAAAAAAAGGAAAAUAAUCUGUAUAUCUCGUUUAUUACAACAAUUCGAAAUAUCAAUGGCCCCCUUUUUUCCAUCUUUUCUUCGAUCGUAUCGUAACGAUAAGCUGUAUUCCAUUUUGUUUCGUAUAAAUCGUAAUUAUUCGUUCCGAUGAUUCGUGAUAAAUCAUCUGAAAAAAAAAAAAGAAAAAAAAAAGAAGGAAAUAAGAAAGAAAAAGGAUUUUCGUGCUACGAUUAAUUUACAGAAACGUACUCAUGGUUCGGAUAUUUUUCUCUGUUCGUUCCAACAACAAAUCGAAAGAUAAUACGAAUGGAAACAUCGCGAUCCUCCUCAAAUCGAAAGUGCAGCAUUGACAAUCGAAAUAUCAAGUUUCUUCUUCUAUUAUAAAAAAAGAGUCAAUGAAUAUAGAGAGAACAAUUUUAUAAAGCUUAAGAACACAAACCCAAAAGUGCAUUAUAUAUUACAAAUAUUACAUUGUUACGUCUCAGUUUCCAAUUUCCAAAAAGUCUCGCAGCGUUGAAAAAUUCGAAAGUCGAUAUUGUUAUCCUCGUAAAAAAAAAAAAAAAAAAUAAUAAAAAAUAAAUAAAUAAAAAGUAAAAAAUAAAAAAAAGGAAAAAGAAUAAGAACCAUCCGAAAUAAUAAUAAUAAUAAUAAUUCUUUUGUUUUUCGGAUUAACAAGUAUCUCGAGUCUUCUUUUCGUGUUCUUUUCGUGUGUUUGUACAUAUAAAAAUACUAACGCUGUAUAUACACGUUGUGUCACGUGUAUAUACGAAAAAUAUAUUUUUCAUAGGUAUUAUUCAGAAUCUUUGAAUCUUGUCUUGAUUGAUCGAGAUAAAAAUUGAAUUGAAUCGAGAGAAAAAAAAUUUCUUUAAAUAUAUUUGAAACGAUAAAAUAUUCGCUAUUUUAUUUUCAAUAAAUAUUAUAUCGAUAUGUUGUAAAUCGAUGAUGUAAAACAACGCAUCGAUCGAUCCACUUUGAUCACGAAAUUAAUAUACCGUUAAUAAUCUUGCUAAACAAGUUCAAAGAUAAAAGAUUAAUAUGCGAGCGAAAUAUCGAAUUAUCUACGCUACUUUGAAAGUCUAUUUUAUAUUUUUCUACGCCGUUCAUUCUAUCCUUCCUGCACGCCUUCAUGCACUCAUGCCUUCAACCUCUUCUUUAAAUUAAUCUCUCUCUCUCUCUCUCUCUCUAUUUCUCUUUCUCUUUCUUUCUCUCUCUCCUUCCUUUUUAUCGAUCGAUUUUCUCUAUUUCGCCGAAACGAUGCAUCGCAAACUAGUAGUUAACAAAUUUACAGGAAAACGAUUGUUACAGCGAAUAAAACAAAUUCUUUUAUUUUAUCCUCCAGCGCUUAAUCUCCUGAGCACUUUCGUAUUUAUCUCUUUUAAUCUAUUUAUUCGUACUCUGUUCUAUUUAUAUACCGUGUAUAACGUAUCAUUCGUUGCUCUUCAAAUUAUCGUAAAAUGUGUUGGAUGAAAUCAUUAAGUCGAGAAAGGAACGUACAAUUAUGAUUUGUAAUUUUAUUUUAUUUUUUUUUUUUCUUUCCAAAUUUUAUUCCUCCCUAUACGUCGCGAUUAAUUUUCUUCCAUAAUAGAAUUUAUAUAGACGUAACAAAUUUUUGGCAAUAUCUUUAUACUUACAUUUUUUACAAAACACUUUGGUACAAUCCAUGUUUAAUCCCCUCCUCGUAUAUGGAGAUGCAAAGAUACGAAUAUGAUUAUAGAGACGAUCUAAUAAGGAUAUAAUACGUGUAAUAAUAACGAAAGACUCGGUGAAAGACGAAUUCGUUAUAUAAUGUUCGUGUAAUAUUUAUUAAAAUUUCUUCUCUUCGAAGAAAAAAUUCCUUUUCGAAAUUGUAUCGCGUGAUAUAUAUUUAUCAUUUUCUAUCUUUAAUUAUAUAACGAAAUUAAUAUAUUAUUUAAA
RNA transcript from Apis laboriosa (Himalayan honeybee), 6103 nucleotides. It is a transcript of the gene named neuronal calcium sensor 2, with no coding region annotated. The transcript is spliced from 7 exons. Lineage: Eukaryota; Metazoa; Arthropoda; Insecta; Hymenoptera; Apidae. The record is from RefSeq and is a predicted model, not a curated record.